CAGGGAGACAACAAAAUGUUUAAUAUUAUUUUGUCACCCUAGGUCGAUCGGUAUCUCACGUUCUUAAUGUAUUAAGAAUUUCAUUUCCUAAGUUUUUCUAGGUCACACCCAUUAUUUUUCCUGGGCCAUUAGCUCAGGUGGUUAGAGCGCACCCCUGAUAAGGGUGAGGUCCCUGGUUCAAGUCCAGGAUGGCCCAUAUCUCUAUGUUGGGGGUAUAGCUCAGUUGGUAGAGCGCCUGCUUUGCAAGCAGGAUGUCAGCGGUUCGAGUCCGCUUACCUCCACUGAUUACCACCUCUUCCAUAAUUUACAGAAGGGAAACUUUUUGAGUUGUGACCAAAUUCUGAACGAAUCUAGCUUCCUAAUAAUUUUAUUAAGAUGCUGGACUCAUUGAAUUAAUUUUCAUUGUUUUCAGAGAACCUUGACAACUGCAUAGAUUAUUUUUAAAGACAAUAAGCAUCUUUAGUGAUGCAGAUUUAUUAUUUGUGCAAAUGCAUAAAAUAACAAUUCUAUUAAGCUGAUGCUUCAAAUUUUUGAAGUUAUU
RNAcentral lists this transfer RNA (541 nucleotides) under uncultured cyanobacterium. Its description in RNAcentral is "partial 16S-23S ribosomal RNA intergenic spacer". The stretch from base 209 to 281 matches the Rfam family "tRNA". Lineage: Bacteria; Bacillati; Cyanobacteriota. The record is from RNAcentral.